AGAGUUUGAUCCUGGCUCAGAACGAACGCUGGCGGCAGGCUUAACACAUGCAAGUCGAACGCUCACUUCGGUGAGAGUGGCAGACGGGUGAGUAACGCGUGGGAAUAUACCUAUCAGUACGGAACAACAGUUGGAAACGACUGCUAAUACCGUAUACGCCCUUCGGGGGAAAGAUUCAUCGCUGAUAGAUUAGCCCGCGUUAGAUUAGCUAGUUGGUGGGGUAAAGGCCUACCAAGGCGACGAUCUAUAGCUGGUCUGAGAGGAUGAUCAGCCACACUGGGACUGAGACACGGCCCAGACUCCUACGGGAGGCAGCAGUGGGGAAUAUUGGACAAUGGGCGCAAGCCUGAUCCAGCCAUGCCGCGUGUGUGAUGAAGGCCUUAGGGUUGUAAAGCACUUUCAACGGUGAAGAUAAUGACGGUAACCGUAGAAGAAGCCCCGGCUAACUUCGUGCCAGCAGCCGCGGUAAU
RNAcentral lists this ribosomal RNA (470 nucleotides) under uncultured bacterium. RNAcentral's name for it is "bacterial SSU rRNA". It matches the Rfam family "Bacterial small subunit ribosomal RNA", at positions 8 to 524 of the family's 1533-position model. The record is from RNAcentral.